AAAGAAAAAAAAAAGGAGAAACCUUCUUUCUCUAAACCCUUUUCUCUUGCUCUCUAAUUUUUCUCUCUAGUGAUCUCCCCAACAAGUAAAGAUUGGAGGAGGUAGCGCUUGCUUGGAGGAGAUGUAAGCUCUUAUACAAAAAAAAGUUUGAGAAAAGUAAAGUUUUUAAUUAAAGAUUGUAGAAAAACGCGUAGUAGCUUCGAUUCGAAGAGUAGCGACAUUUCGGUGGUCGAUUGAGGAAAAUCAAGCUGAAAAUAAAGGAUUUCAUUUGUUAGCGCCGAAAAGUGCCGAAUCGGUGUUGGAAGCUAAAUUGCUUGGAUUUCCCUGCAAUUGGUAUCGAAUCGAGCAAACAAUAUGGCUGGUGAAAGCAUAGGAGAAAAGCAAGAAGCUCUCUUCCACUACCCCGCCCUACCGUGCGUGGCCAUCUACCACAUGCAGAGCCCCUCCACCACUUCCCACGCCAACAGCACCCAACCCCCCUCUGACAACAACUCCGCCUUCCUCUUCCCCUUCCCCCUCCCCGCCGACGACGUCGUCACCACCUUUGUCAGCUACCACCAUCACCGCCACCACAAUGAGACGGCUGGCGCCUCCCACCGCCUCCCGCCACCUCGCCCUUUGCUGCUACUCCUCCUCCCGCGGCUCCAACAACUCCUUCCUCCAUGAGAAGCAGGUGUCUUGAAAACUUAACCGAUAGAAAAUAAUAUUUAUUAAUAUUCUAAUUCUUUCUUUUUUAUAUGUAGUCUUUCAAAGACCAAAAUGCUGAGAAACUUGAUCGUCUUAUGCAUAUUUCAUGUAACGUACCGAAACCUCGGUAAUUAAAUUCGAACCUUGGUCAAAUUGACCAAAGUGCGAGGUUGGUACA
Long non-coding RNA from Ananas comosus (pineapple), 865 nucleotides. RefSeq lists it as uncharacterized. NCBI's taxonomy places the organism in Eukaryota, Viridiplantae, Streptophyta, Magnoliopsida, Poales, Bromeliaceae. The transcript has 3 exons. The record is from RefSeq and is a predicted model, not a curated record.